CCUACGGGAGGCAGCAGUGGGGGAUAUUGCACAAUGGGGGAAACCCUGAUGCAGCGACGCCGCGUGGGUGAAGAAGCGCCUCGGCGCGUAAAGCCCUGUCAGCAGGGAAGAAAAUGACGGUACCUGAAGAAGAAGCACCGGCUAACUACGUGCCAGCAGCCGCGGGAAUACGGAGGGGGCAAGCGUUAUCCGGAUUUACUGGGCGUAAAGAGGGCGCAGACGGGGAUGCAAGCCAGGUGUGAAAUCCCGGGGCCCAACCCCGGGACUGCGCUUGAAACUGCGUGGCUAGAGUGCAGGAGAGGCAGGCGGAAUUCCUGGUGUAGCGGUGAAAUGCGUAGAUAUCAGGAGGAACACCGGUGGCGAAGGCGGCCUGCUGGACUGCAACUGACGUUGAGGCCCGAAAGCGUGGGGAGCAAACAGGAUUAGAUACCCCUGUAGUC
RNAcentral lists this ribosomal RNA (440 nucleotides) under uncultured bacterium. Its description in RNAcentral is "partial 16S ribosomal RNA". It matches the Rfam family "Bacterial small subunit ribosomal RNA", at positions 338 to 795 of the family's 1533-position model. The record is from RNAcentral.